ACCUGCAGAAGAAGCGCCGGCUAACUACGUGCCAGCAGCCGCGGUAAUACGUAGGGCGCAAGCGUUGUCCGGAAUUAUUGGGCGUAAAGAGCUAGUAGGUGGCUUGUCGCGUCUGCCGUGAAAACCCGAGGCUCAACCUCGGGCGUGCGGUGGGUACGGGCAGGCUAGAGUGUGGUAGGGGAGACUGGAACUCCUGGUGUAGCGGUGAAAUGCGCAGAUAUCAGGAAGAACACCGAUGGCGAAGGCAGGUCUYUGGGCCAUUACUGACACUGAGAAGCGAAAGCAUGGGUAGCGAACAGGAUUAGAUACCCUGGUAGUCCAUGCCGUAAACGUUGGGCACUAGGUGUGGGGGGCAUUCCACGUUUUCCGCGCCGUAGCUAACGCAUUAAGUGCCCCGCCUGGGGAGUACGGCCGCAAGGCUAAAMCCUWAAGGAAUUGACGGGGGCCCGCACAAGCGGCGGAGCAUGCUGAUUAAUUCGAUGCAACGCGAAGAACCUUACCAAGGCUUGACAUGCRCUGGACGGCUGCAGAGAUGUGGCUUUCUUUGGACUGGUGCACAUGGUGGUGCAUGGUGUCGUCAGCUCGUGUCGG
Molecule: ribosomal RNA, 591 nt
Filed under: Brachybacterium sp.
Lineage: Bacteria; Bacillati; Actinomycetota; Actinomycetes; Micrococcales; Dermabacteraceae
Description: bacterial SSU rRNA
Rfam family: Bacterial small subunit ribosomal RNA
Source: RNAcentral